Molecule: long non-coding RNA, 1439 nt
Organism: Calidris pugnax (ruff)
Lineage: Eukaryota; Metazoa; Chordata; Aves; Charadriiformes; Scolopacidae
Exons: 3
Source: RefSeq, a predicted model, not a curated record
UCGUCCUCUUAUUAGGGAGAUUCUGCUGAACUGCUGACAAUGAUGUACAGUGGUGCUUCGCCGGCGUGACGUUUGGGGAAAACGAUUCUGCUGCACCACCACACAAAACCAAUUAGAGAACUAUUUUCUGCGACAGAGAAAAGAUACUUCCUUGUUAGCAGGAACAAAGCUAAAAAGUCUACUUGAUGAAAGAAGGAAAGUUUUGGAGUUAGUUUACAGUCUCAUUAAGGGAGAUUUUUCAGCUCAUCCAGAACACAGAAGUCACUGACUCGGGUGUGAUUAUUUAGCUACUGAGCCCUUCACUGCACACAGCAAAGCUGAAAAAGCCCGACACGGACACGUCACCCGGCAGGGUACUGCCACUUCAGCUGACCACUUCUCAGCAACUUUCACCAAAGGGUGAAAAAAAAACCAAAACGACCCCGUCAGCCAAGGAGAAAAAGGUCUAGUAACAUCCUUUGCCACCGAGGAGCCAUUUUAACUGUCCAAACCGUAGUUACCAUCCACAAAAAUUAAAGGUAUCGUGUGGUUUUCCCACCUCAUCUCUGGUCAAACCAUCACGUACCACGUCCACGCUGGAAGACACCGUGCCAGGGGACUUUAAGGAAUGGAAAUGGAUGGGUACAGAAGUAGAACAAAAGCUAUUGUGAACAUGUCAAAGCAGUCUGAGAUUAUUCGCGGGCUCGAUCACGAUAUUUAAGCAACAAGACAUGACAGACAGUGUCUUUCCAGGGGCUUAUGAACACUCUUAACUGUGAGGAAAAGAAUGAGGCCAAAGGCUUCAACCCCAAGAAAGGUAAUCCCCAGAAAUGUGGUGUCUGGAGUGUCUUCUUGUAUUAUGAGAGAGAGAACACAGGAAACUAAGGACAGGAGAAAGCCAGUAAGUCUAUCUUCUUCUUUUUUUUUUAUUUUUUUAAUUUAACAGUUACAUUUUUGCCCCAGACCUGCUAAAGCAUUAGGUGUUUUGUAUCUAUGAGGACGGAAAAAAUUUUAUCUUCCAAAUACUUGUCUACAACACAAUUUUUUUAUACUUAUAAAAUUAUGCAUGCCUUAAAUAACCAAUCUAGAUUAUCUGCCUCAGUGACCUCCUGGAACUCCAAAUUUUCCAGGUUGAAUAUACGUGGCAUGAAAAAGUAUUCCCAUCAGUAUUCCCUGCAGAACAAGCCAGAUGAAAGGUUUAGCAAUACACAAUCUACAUUUGAAUUCUCAGCUUAAACACUUCCUACGGAGGGAAGGACCACGUGCUGCUCCUAUCUGAUCGCUAUUUGGAGGCUUAUGUGGAGUAAAUAGAUGAAUCAGGCCAAGUCUUGACAGAGAGAUGCAGACACGGAUUGACUCAGAGGAGAAGAAGAAACAAGAGCCCUGGGAUGGAAAAAAACCUCAUGCUGAUGCCGCCUAGACCUUCGUCUGGGCAAAGUGAUUUCAUGCUGCAGUGCUGA